ACUAACACCCUGAAAGAUGUUACAAAACAGAUGAAAAGACGUUACAAGCAAAUCAAACAGCACACUAAAGCCACUUAAAGAUGAAAAGCAAACAGCCACACACAACUAAAUAACAAACAGAUAUUAAAAUGCCUAAAACAAAACCCACAGUAAAAAACUAUAAACGAACCAAAAUAGAGCCUUCCCCUAAACUACCAUAGAGAGAAACCAGAGAAAUACCAGCCAAAACCUCUUCAAACAAAGCUAAAAAACCAUCAACCAUAGUAGAAGAGGCAAAAGCUUGAGAGAAACAAGACCGUGGAGAUUCAGAGUGAACCUUUUCCAUUCUCAAGCUUCUGAAAAAAAAACCUUAAUAUUAUCGAAUAUUGGCAAAUCCAGUUGUUCCAGUCCACAAUUGUCAUCUUCUCAACUGGAUCUAGGGCUUUUUCAACCCAAAAACAUGGUGCUUGAUACCGAUGUCCCUUCUUAGCCAACAUAUGGGCAGCCUUAUUUACUUCUCUUGAAAUGAAAUGAAAUCUUAAGGAAACCCAUUUCAGCUGCAAAGAGUAAGACUCUCUCGCAAGCCCUAGCUUCUGCCACAAAAGCAUCUUGGACUCCAUCAUAAGGGUAAGCACAGGACCCCAUAAUCUGACCUUUGUUAUUUCAAGCCAGAACUGCUGCAAUUGAAGUGUAUGUAUCUGUAUUAAAAGAAGCACCAAAGUUUAGUUUAAUAACAUCAGUAUUUGGAGGUCGCCAUAGUUCCUUCAUCAUAGGUUUCAUAAAAUGAAAAGGAUUCUAAGUCUGAUUUAGCUCCUGCAUGUACCCCUAUAUAAAUCCCAAAAUAUCUUGACAGAACCUUUCUGUCCUUCAUAAACCAACUUGUUUCUUCUAAACCAAAGAGCCUAGUAAGAUAUAGCCAUUAGCAUUCGCUGUCUUUUAUUCUUUACAAUAAACAUUUGUGCUAACCAAUCUUUAUAAUUUGAGGAAUCCACCCUUUGGUUACUCAAAAUUUGUAAGUGUUUCCACAAUUGCUGAAGUACUUGACAAGUCUAACUCAGAUGAUUAGCAUCCUCCAAUGGGUUGUUGCACAGUGGACACAAAACAUCUCCGGUCAAUCUACACUUGGCUAAAUUGAUGAAAUGAGGCAAAAAAUUAUUAAACAGUCUUCACACAUGUAUAUUUAUUUUUUCUGGUAGUUGUAAUUUCCAUAGAGAGUUGUAAAAUUCUUUGUAAAUGUGGGGUGUAGCAGUAGGAAUCUGAUUAGUAGAAUGUAGAUGUUCUGAAAUUAGGACUUUUUACCCACUUUUUACUGCGUAUUCCCCGGUUGCCUCAUGCCUCCAGCCCAACAUGUCAUUUAAUCGUAUACAAGAGAGAGGGAUCUUGAAGAUACGCUCAGCUUGAUUGGUGCCAAAUAUGUCUAAAAUUUUAGCCUUCUUCCAGGUAAUUGUUUCUUUAUCAAUCAACUAACUUACAGUUAUCCAAUAA
Gossypium raimondii (Peruvian cotton) is the source of this 1464-nucleotide long non-coding RNA. RefSeq lists it as uncharacterized. The record is from RefSeq and is a predicted model, not a curated record. The transcript has 2 exons. NCBI's taxonomy places the organism in Eukaryota, Viridiplantae, Streptophyta, Magnoliopsida, Malvales, Malvaceae.